AGAGUUUGAUCCUGGCUCAGGAUGAACGUUGGCGGUGUGCCUAAUACAUGCAAGUCGAACGGUGACGAUUUUGUAGCAAUACGAAUGAAAUCAUAGUGGCGAACGGGUGAGUAACGCGUUGGUGAUCUGCCUCGAAGUGUGGAAUAACUUCCCGAAAGGGUAGCUAAUACCGCAUAGUCUCUCAAGGUUUAAAAAAUUGAGAGUAAAGGAUUUAUUCGCUUCGAGAGGAGCCUGCGUCCCAUCAGCUAGUUGGUAGGGUAAUAGCCUACCAAGGCAAUGACGGGUAGGGGACCUGAGAGGGUGGCCCCCCACAAUGGAACUGAAACACGGUCCAUACACCUACGGGUGGCAGCAGUAGGGAAUAUUAGAAAUGGGCGAAAGCCUGAUCUAGCAACACCGCGUGUGCGAUGAAGGCCUUCGGGUUGUAAAGCACUUUUUGGAGGGAAUAGGAAGGAAGGUACCUCCAGAAUAAGUCUCGGCUAACUACGUGCCAGCAGCCGCGGUAACACGUAGGAGGCAAACGUUAUCCGGAUUCACUGGGCGUAAAGCGCGUGUAGGUGGUUCUGUAAGUAGGGCGUGAAAGCUCCCGGCUCAACUGGGAGAGGCCGUACUAAACUGCAGAGCUAGAGGAUGGUAGAGGGAGGUGGAAUUCCAGGUGUAGUGGUGAAAUGCGCAGAUAUCUGGAGGAACACCAGUGGCGAAGGCGGCCUCCUGGACCAUUCCUGACACUCAGACGCGAAAGCUAGGGUAGCAAACGGAAUUAGAGACUCCGGUAGUCCUAGCCCUAAACGAUGCAGACUAGGCGGCCGGCGGUUUAAUCACCGUCGGUGUCCAAGCUAACGCGAUAAGUCUGCCGCCUGAGGACUACGGCCGCAGGGCUAAAACUCAAAGGAAUUGAGGGGUCCCCGCACAAGCAGCGGAGCGUGUGGUUUAAUUCGAUGCUCCGCGAAGAACCUUACCUGGGUUUGACAUAACAGUGGUAGAGAAGUGAAAACGGAUCGACCCUUCGGGGAGCUGUUACAGGUGUUGCAUGCCUGUCGUCAGCUCGUGUCGUGAGAUGUUCGGUUAAGUCCGCUAACGAGCGCAACCCGCGCUGUGUGUUACAAGUGUCACACAGUACCGCCGGUAUUAAGUCGGAGGAAGGUGCGGAUGACGUCAAGUCAGCAUGACCUUUAUAUCCAGGGCUACACACACGCUACAAUGGUCAGAACAAUAGGUUGCCAAGCCGCAAGGCGGAGCCAAUCCUCCAAAUCUGGCCUCAGUUCAGAUUGCAGGCUGCAACUCGCCUGCAUGAAGUCGGAGUUGCUAGUAACCGCAGGUCAGCAUACUGCGGUGAAUACGUUCCCGGGGAUUGUACACACCGCCCGUCA
Molecule: ribosomal RNA, 1370 nt
Filed under: uncultured bacterium
Lineage: Bacteria
Description: 16S ribosomal RNA
Rfam family: Bacterial small subunit ribosomal RNA
Source: RNAcentral